Molecule: ribosomal RNA, 253 nt
Filed under: uncultured bacterium
Lineage: Bacteria
Description: partial 16S ribosomal RNA
Rfam family: Bacterial small subunit ribosomal RNA
Source: RNAcentral
UACGGAGGGUGCAAGCGUUAUCCGGAUUCACUGGGUUUAAAGGGUGCGUAGGUGGGUUGGUAAGUCAGUGGUGAAAUCCCCGAGCUUAACUUGGGAACUGCCAUUGAUACUAUCAGUCUUGAAUACCGUGGAGGUUAGCGGAAUAUGUCAUGUAGCGGUGAAAUGCUUAGAUAUGACAUAGAACACCAAUUGCGAAGGCAGCUCACUACGCGAAUAUUGACACUGAGGCACGAAAGCGUGGGGAUCAAACAGG